CUGGUCAGGAUGAACGCUAGCGGCAGGCCUAACACAUGCAAGUCGAGGGGCAGCGCGAGGGUAGCAAUACUUUGGCGGCGACCGGCGGAAGGGUGCGUAACGCGUGAGCAACAUGCCCGUAUCUGGGAGAUAACCGAUGGAAACGUCGACUAAUAUCCCAUAACAACAGAAGUGACAUCAUUUUUGUUUGAAAGUUUCGAUGGAUACGGAUUGGCUCGCGUGACAUUAGCUAGACGGCGGGGUAACGGCCCACCGUGGCGACGAUGUCUAGGGGUUCUGAGAGGAAGGUCCCCCACACUGGAACUGAGACACGGUCCAGACUCCUACGGGAGGCAGCAGUGAGGAAUAUUGGACAAUGGGCGGAAGCCUGAUCCAGCCAUGCCGCGUGCAGGAAUAAGGUCCUUAAUGGAUUGUAAACUGCUUUUGUUGUGGAGCAAUAAGGUCUACGCGUAGACUGAUGAGAGUACACAGCGAAUAAGCAUCGGCUAACUCCGUGCCAGCCGCGGC
This 507-nucleotide ribosomal RNA is filed under the name uncultured bacterium. RNAcentral describes it as "bacterial SSU rRNA". It matches the Rfam family "Bacterial small subunit ribosomal RNA", at positions 20 to 518 of the family's 1533-position model. The record is from RNAcentral.